Molecule: unclassified non-coding RNA, 1249 nt
Filed under: Copidosoma floridanum
Lineage: Eukaryota; Metazoa; Arthropoda; Insecta; Hymenoptera; Encyrtidae
Description: transcription factor Sox-2, transcript variant X1
Source: RNAcentral
UUAUGUUUUGUUGUCGCUUAGUCGAUAACAUGUAUUUGUGUAUGUUGUUGCAGUGUGUUUUUUAACGAUCGCGAGUGUAUACUAUCCCGUCUUUUUGUUUGUUCGUUUCAAUCCGUCCAGUCGGACAUGACAGAGGUUAGGUGCGGUGUUAUUGUUGUUCGUAAUACGCAGUAGUGCAGGUGCCGGUGUUGUGUCGGCGGCUCUCCUUUUUUUUUGCGAUACGCAUCGGGGCAAAAGUUGAAAAGAUCAGAAAGUGUUUUCGUUCCACCUGUGCAUCUCUCCGCGUGUGGGUGCGCGCUUACGCGCGACGGUUGGAAACGUGCAGGUUGCAAAGAGCAGCCGAAAUUGCGACUAAUGGCUGUUAUGUUCGGCUGACGGAUUUCCAAGGUGGUGGAGGUGCACUGCUUUUAUUGCACUUACAGUUGGAAAAAAAAAAAUUGAGUUCUGCGUUUUUUAAUCAAUUACACGCGGGUGUGAGUGUUUUGUUUGUGCGGGUCAAUGUAGUAUAUGAAAAUGAUAGAAUGUUCCGUUGAGUGAGCAAGUGAGGGCAAGUUCCUGAUGCGGCUGUUUAUGUGCACAAAAAAUAGGAGAACCAUCCCAACGGCGGGUGUUCACAAGAACCUGCAGGACGUUGUCGUCGCAUGCACUACUUAUACACUGCUCCAUCUGUCAGUGAUUAUAAUUUCGUCGUCGAUAACUACCCGAUUCGAAAUCCAACAGCCCUCGAUAAGAACGACCGACACGUUUGAGGGAGGGAAAAUCGAGAUGGUUGCAUUUACGCGCCGCUCGAGGAUCCGUCGUCUCUUUUCCUCCACGUGGUCGCCGCGCUACUGCUGAUCGUCGGCUAAUUUACGCCGUGCACAACUGUUGCUUGGCUACUCGGAAUCGCCGAUUGAUGGUGCGAGACGAGAGCAGUUCUUCAUCCGAGCAAACAAUCUAUUGGCAUCGCACAAAUGUGCACACACACACGUAUAAAAUGGAUGGACUGCACACUUUGGGGUGAAAGACGUGACAAUUGCUAUCGUCCUGUUUUCAGCAUCUCCUGAACUUACGAUUGUAACCCUGCGCUGAUUGACAACCGACGACGGAUGCGGAUCAAACACUUGGCUAAGGACUACUGCGUGUCACACGGCGGACUGGCUGCCCUGGAUGUAUAUACAGCUGGAGUGAUGAUGACGUUUUACCUGCACUUGACUGUGGCCGGAGAGCGAUAGGAAAAUGUUGAACCCCGAAACGAGCUGCUACUCCG